AGAGCCCUGAAGGGACGUUGAAGACGACGACGUUGAUAGGCCGGGUGUGUAAGCGCAGCGAUGCGUUGAGCUAACCGGUACUAAUGACCCGUGAGGCUUAACCUUACAACGCCAGAGGCGUUUUG
This 125-nucleotide ribosomal RNA is filed under the name Pantoea sp. Bo_10. RNAcentral's name for it is "partial 23S ribosomal RNA". The stretch from base 1 to 105 matches the Rfam family "Bacterial large subunit ribosomal RNA", at positions 2821 to 2925 of the family's 2925-position model. The record is from RNAcentral. Lineage: Bacteria; Pseudomonadati; Pseudomonadota; Gammaproteobacteria; Enterobacterales; Erwiniaceae. RNAcentral also lists the same sequence under 1 other name.